AUGAAGCUGGAAUUGCUAGUAACGGCAGGUCAGCAUACUGCCGUGAAUACGUUCCCGGGCCUUGUACACACCGCCCGUCACACCAUGAGAGUUGGAAAUACCCGAAGCCUGUGAGCUAACUUAAAGAGGCAGCAGUCGAAGGUAGAGCCAAUGAUUGGGGUGAAGUCGUAACAAGGUACC
RNAcentral lists this ribosomal RNA (180 nucleotides) under uncultured bacterium. RNAcentral describes it as "partial 16S ribosomal RNA". It matches the Rfam family "Bacterial small subunit ribosomal RNA", at positions 1320 to 1500 of the family's 1533-position model. The record is from RNAcentral.